GGUGGUUAAGCACUUGGCUGCUAACCAAAAGGUUGGUGGUUCAAACCCACCAGCUACUC
RNAcentral lists this transfer RNA (59 nucleotides) under Loxodonta africana (African savanna elephant). It matches the Rfam family "tRNA". From Rfam's summary of the family: Transfer RNA (tRNA) molecules are approximately 80 nucleotides in length. Their secondary structure includes four short double-helical elements and three loops (D, anti-codon, and T loops). Lineage: Eukaryota; Metazoa; Chordata; Mammalia; Proboscidea; Elephantidae. The record is from Rfam by way of RNAcentral.